RNAcentral lists this ribosomal RNA (251 nucleotides) under uncultured bacterium. RNAcentral's name for it is "partial 16S ribosomal RNA". It matches the Rfam family "Bacterial small subunit ribosomal RNA", at positions 57 to 305 of the family's 1533-position model. The record is from RNAcentral.
GCAAGUCGAGGGAGAAAUUUGGUGCUUGCACUAAAUGGAAACCGGCGAACGGGUGCGUAACACGUAUGCAACCUACCUAUAACUGGGGCAUAGCCCGAAGAAAUUCGGAUUAAUACCCUAUAAUAUUUACACACCGCAUGGUGAGUAUCUUAAAACUCCGGUGGUUAUAGAUGGGCAUGCGGCUUAUUAGUUUGUUGGUGAGGUAACGGCUCACCAAGACUACGAUGAUUAGCCGGCCUGAGAGGGUGAAC